This 124-nucleotide small nuclear RNA is filed under the name Suricata suricatta (meerkat). Its description in RNAcentral is "U2 spliceosomal RNA (ENSSSUG00005005255.1)". It matches the Rfam family "U2 spliceosomal RNA". Rfam says of the family: U2 is a small nuclear RNA (snRNA) component of the spliceosome (involved in pre-mRNA splicing). Lineage: Eukaryota; Metazoa; Chordata; Mammalia; Carnivora; Herpestidae. The record is from Rfam by way of RNAcentral.
AUCACUUCUCUGCCUGUUGGCUAAGAUCAAGUGUAGCAUCUGUUCUUACCAGUUUAAUAAUAGUAUCUGUCUGUUAUGGCUGUUGUCAGGAUGGAUCAAUGCAUAUAAAGGCUCAGUACCUAGU